AUAAACGCUAUGACGGAGACGGUAUUUUAUAAUACGUAGUUUUAGAGAGUCGGUGGUUGCUGCAAACCGAUACUACCUAUAAAAUAUAUAUCACUCCCGAGCUGUGUCCUUGAAAAGUAUUAGUAAAGGAUGACGACUAGCCCCGUUAAAGGCUUAGGUUUGUUAGAACCGAACAAAGAGGUAUCUAUAGAUACAUAUUUAGAUACAAUUAAGGUGGUACCACGGGUAUAUGCUCGUCCUUGAA
This 244-nucleotide non-coding RNA is filed under the name Paramaledivibacter caminithermalis. RNAcentral's name for it is "Clostridium caminithermale T-box sequence". It matches the Rfam family "T-box leader". Rfam says of the family: Uncharged tRNA acts as the effector for transcription antitermination of genes in the T-box leader family. T-boxes are found upstream of many aminoacyl-tRNA synthetase genes and some amino acid biosynthetic genes usually in Gram-positive bacteria. Lineage: Bacteria; Bacillati; Bacillota; Clostridia; Peptostreptococcales; Caminicellaceae. The record is from RNAcentral.